This 1020-nucleotide long non-coding RNA is filed under the name Mustela putorius furo (domestic ferret). RNAcentral's name for it is "lncRNA (ENSMPUG00000025934.1)". The record is from RNAcentral. Lineage: Eukaryota; Metazoa; Chordata; Mammalia; Carnivora; Mustelidae.
AGGUGGUCCUUUGUCGCAAGAACUACCCAAUCACGGAUAAAGUGCUUAGUAUGAAACACUCUGCUCAAAUAGAGAUGAGGCUGACUGAUAAAAUUCUACCUUACUGAGAGUUUGAAUGUGAGAAAUAUACAGAAUUAACAUUUGGCUGUGGGGACAGAUGCAAAAGGAGACCUGAGGCUGAAUCCUCCAGAAGCAUGUUCAAGGUGCACUCCCAGGAUGCUCUCCAGGAUUCUCCUGUGCAUAGCCUGGUCUUCAGCAUGGUCUGUCCUUCGCCUGGAGAAGAGAAUGACGUCCAUAAACACUGCCCUGGGAGCCUUUCACAUUUUUGCCUUAAGUGGCUAAUUGGCUGAACUGAGCCUGUUAUUUUCUCUCUUCAGUGCAUCAAUACCACUCAACAAUAACCAAAUAAAUCCCCCAGGCCUUAUAAUUACUAUUUCCUGCUUAUCUCACAAAUGCCAAAGAUAGCACAGAGGCUAUUGUAUUACUUUGACAUGUAACUCAUUCCAAGUCACCACAGGUGAGGUCCUUGGUAAUUACCAUGCUGUGGUGUGCCAGAAUUAACCCAGAGAUGGAGUCCUGGUUGCCAUCAAGCAGGAGGCUGAUCCAACUUCAGCAUCACAUCCCAGCACUGCUGGCUCCUCUUUCUCUGCCCCACUGUUAAUUUUGGUGGGCUGGGAGUGAAUAGAUGGUGAGAAACUAGAGCCAGCAUGGUCUUGAAAGGAAGAGAAGGAGGGCAGUGGGUAGAAGGCAAAUAAGAAGCAGGGCCUGGAAGAGAACUGAUUAGGUUUAUUGGAGAGAGAAAACAGCCAGGGGAGAAAAAAGGGAGAAGACCCAAGACACUGAGUUGGUGAGAGUAGAUGGAAUGCAAAAAUCCAUUGGAGAGCUUCUUCUCAUGAGAUGGGAGUGAGGAAUGGGAAGAAAUACCUACAGAUAAGAUUGUCAAUGGCAAUAAUACAGAGAAUUGAGCCCUUACUGUAUGCUUGCCACAGUUCUAAAUGCUUGGACGGAAACUAGUUUUAA